GCCUUCGGGCCUAUGUCUUAUCAUAUAAUCUGAAUGUCUAAUAGAAUGUAAACCCAUUUCGUUGCCUUGAAAACGUAACGAAAGAAAACUAUACAACUUUCAACAACGGAUCUCUUGGCUCUCGCAUCGAUGAAUAACGCAGCGAAAUGCGAUAAGUAAUGUGAAUUGCAGAUUUUCAGUGAAUCAUCGAAUCUUUGAACGCACCUUGCGCCCCUUGGUAUUCCGAGGGGCAUGCCUGUUUGAGUGUCAUUAAAUCCUCAACCCCUCCGAUUCGUUUCGGUGGGGAUUGGACUUGGAGCGUGCUGGCGAAGGUCGGCUCCUCUUUAAAUGCAUCAGCGGAGAAAAUGCCUUUUGCGCCUCUGGCCGUUCAGCGUGAUAAUGAUGUUGCGCUGCGGUCGAGCUUAAGGUCCGCUUCCAAAGGUCCUCGGACAAAUAUACAUAUGACUUUUGACCUCAAAUCAGGUAGGACUACCCGCUGAACUUAAGCAUAUCAAUAAGCGGAGGAA
This 506-nucleotide ribosomal RNA is filed under the name uncultured Tylospora. Its description in RNAcentral is "eukaryotic LSU rRNA". The stretch from base 95 to 249 matches the Rfam family "5.8S ribosomal RNA". The record is from RNAcentral. Lineage: Eukaryota; Fungi; Basidiomycota; Agaricomycetes; Atheliales; Atheliaceae.